GAGGCCCCACGUGACCCAGGUCACUCAGCAGGGAGACCCCACGUGGCCCAGGUCACUCAGCAGGGAGGCCGCCACGUGGCCCAGGUCACUCAGCAGGGAGGCCACCCCCGCCUGGCCCAGGUCACUCGGCAGGGAGGCCCCACGUGGCCCAGGUCACUCAGCAGGGAGGCCACCACGUGGCCCAGAUCACUCAGCAGGGAGGCCGCCCUCACCUGGCCCAGGUCACUCAGCAGGGAGGCUGCCACAUGGCCCAGGUUACUCAGCAGGGAGGCUGCCCCUGCCUGGCCCAGGUCACUCGGCAGGGAGGCUGCCACGUGGCCCGGGUUACUCAGCAGGGAGGCCGCCCCUGCCUGGCCUGGUCCUGGGGUGCUCAGGCCCCGCCGCCCUGGGUGUCGGAUGUUGCAGCUGCCGCCUUCCCCCUGAGGCCCAGCACCCGCUUCCCCAGGCCUAGUCCUGUCACGUCUCCUCCCAACCUGGGGCCACCGCUCCUCCCGGCCCUGACACCGAUUCCUGGAAAGCUCAUGCUGGCGCCCAGCUGUCAGCUCACCUGCUCUGAUGAGCCGUCCGCCCUGUGCAGCUGCUCUGUCUUCGUGUGGACGGAUAGCACCGGGACUCAUGGUCACGCUGCUCGGCCAGGGGCCACAGAGCCUUGGAGCCCCGUCUUCCCGCUCCUGCCUCCUGAGGGGAUUGCUUCAUGAUCUGAGCCCACCUUCCUGCGGGAAGAGCUCAGAGCAGCCCGCGCUUGGCACCCCUUCCCCCCACCCUCGGGAGAGGUGCGGUCCUGACAUCUGACAAAGGUGACAGCAGGGCUCAUCUCUCCCCUGUGGACCCUCCCCCCAGGGCCAGGGGCUCUGAGCAUUUCCACGAUGCACAGGAUACACCCACCCUGGAAUUCUCUGUGCUUGACCUUGAGGAUGGCACAGAAUAAAAGAAAGCCCUGCUCUUAGCCAAGAAGCCAGUUUACCACACUCCGAGCGUAAAACCCCUUUUGCAAACUCUAUUCUUGUUGUUUUCAGGGUGAAAUGCAAAGAAAUAGGUAUGUGUUAUUUUAACUAAAUACUUGGUUAUUCUAAAGACAGCUCCACUGGCACAGAUAUGCCGUCUCUUGCUCUCCCUGGAUGCUGGUAGAUGCUGGUGGACGGGAGGAAAGCCUGGCCUCAGGUUCCUGCCCCCCAUGUCUAAAUUCAUCCAGGCAAUAAAGUGCAUCUGUGUCUGUACAGGCAGUAACUCAGAUCAGCCCUUCCACAGUGGCACACAGUUCCACAGAAAAUCCUGUUAUCAAUAAUAGCAUCUGAAUGAAUUUGGGAAAUCACCCUGCUGAGUGUAACAUAUUUGCACUAGUAUGCAAAUACCCUUGAACACACCCAUUGGAACUAAUCCACUCAAAACUAUGCAGAGAUUAUAGGCAGGAAAAUGUCCUGGGUAUAGAUUUAUGGGAAAUGACAGAACUGCUCUCCAUUUUGCCUUCAGAAAAUUAGAUUCCCAGUAUUAUAUAUUUGAAUCUACUAUCAUUAUGCAAUUGUUAAAUUUCCUUUUUAAUUUUCAUCUCUGAAAUGUGGCUUUUGCCCAGUCAUCAAAAUAUAAAAUAACUGUUUCAAUCACUUGCAAAGGAGCUUUCUUUCCAGUAUUUUCAAAAUGCAAAACAUGGAAGUAUGAUUUGUUGUUCUGCAUUUAAGAUGCACUUUGGCAGUGGUGGGGCCAGGCCGGUGGCCACAGGGCUGCCCCGUGUUCACACGGAGUUCACACGGAGUUCACACGGAGUGCACGCUGGAGCGAAGCAGAGAACCGAACCAGCAGGUUCCUUCCUGGCUUCGUACUUGGGAUUAAAAACCCCUUUUGUUCAGAUGUCUGCUGUACUUUUUUUUUUGCUUUUGUUUUCCUCUGGUGACCUCAGCCACAGGCAGCUGUGUGAUUUGUGUCCAGUUUGGGACACAACUGUGUGAGCCCCACAGGCCCCAGCACCUCCCCUACUGUGACCUGGAGUCAGCGUCCUUGCCGUGGGCCUGACGUGUGGAUGUGAGUGGUUUCCAUUAAAGUGCACAGGACGAUGGUGAGAGUCCAUGCUGGGCUGCUGUCACGAUACCCGAGACGGGUUCAUCCGUAAAGAAAAGAAAUGUAUUUCCCAUAGUUCUGGGUGCUGGGAAGUCCACGGUGAAGGGGCUGACGUUCUGGGGAGGGGACGCAUUCAGGCCACAGCAGCCUUCAGGUGAGCAGGGUUGUGCUUUUCGCUGUCUCUGGUCUCUUCACAGCCUGUUUCUAAGAUGCACAUAUGUUUUGCUGUCUGUGCCCCUCACGGUGGAUUCUAGCUGCUGUCUGACCUGCCGUCGUUUGCAUCGGCCACACUGUACGUUUCCAUCGCUGUGGCAGAAACUGAUUGUCCCCAUGUCCAUUCCGCCCUCCUCCGUUCACUGAGGCGGAGCCGGAGUGCUGUGACGUGGCUGUAGGGAAGCAGCUUCAGCCUCAGGGAGAGACCGUCUGCCAGCAGUAGAGCAGGACUGAAAGACUCAGAGUCCAGCUGGCCCCGUGGGCAGGGCCCCGUCUCCCCUGAACCUGUUACCCCACAAAUGCAGCUCCCCUGAUGAUGACACUCCCUGAUAGCACAGAGAAGUCCUGGGAGCAGCCAUAGGAUGUCACCUUGGGAGACGGUGGGGAGCGUUUCUCGGGCUCAUCCAGGAGAGGGGGCCGGCCCGACCCCAUGGGGGCUGCCAGACAGCUUCCCGGGUCGCCUGGACCCAUUCACCAAGGGUCCAUUUGUUUGUACUUUCCCUCCUAGCAGACCCACUGUGCUAUCUGCUGCCUUCCCAGUGUUACUCACUGUUUCCUUUUCAAAUUGCAAGUCCUUUUAAAAUAAAAAUAAUCAUUUAUUUUCAAA
This is a non-coding RNA of Macaca mulatta (Rhesus monkey), 2872 nucleotides long. NCBI's taxonomy places the organism in Eukaryota, Metazoa, Chordata, Mammalia, Primates, Cercopithecidae. The record is from RefSeq and is a predicted model, not a curated record.